Molecule: ribosomal RNA, 396 nt
Filed under: uncultured bacterium
Lineage: Bacteria
Description: bacterial SSU rRNA
Rfam family: Bacterial small subunit ribosomal RNA
Source: RNAcentral
CCACCUUUGACAUGGCAGGAAGGCUCCAGAGAUGGGGCUGUGCUCGAAAGAGAACCUGCACACAGGUGCUGCAUGGCUGUCGUCAGCUCGUGUCGUGAGAUGUUGGGUUAAGUCCCGCAACGAGCGCAACCCUUGCCAUUAGUUGCUACGAAAGGGCACUCUAAUGGGACUGCCGGUGACAAGCCGGAGGAAGGUGGGGAUGACGUCAAGUCCUCAUGGCCCUUAUAGGUGGGGCUACACACGUCAUACAAUGGCCGGUACAAAGGGUAGCCAACCCGCGAGGGGGAGCCAAUCCCAUAAAGCCGGUCGCAGUCCGGAUCGCAGUCUGCAACUCGACUGCGUGAAGUCGGAAUCGCUAGUAAUUGUGGAUCAGCAUGUCACGGUGAAUACGUUCCC